UGCCAGCCGCCGCGGUAAUACGGAAGGUGCGAGCGUUAAUCGGAAUUACUGGGCGUAAAGCGCACGUAGGUGGCUUGGUAAGUCGGAUGUGAAAGCCCUGGGCUCAACCUGGGAAUUGCAUUCGAUACUGCUUAGCUAGAGUAUGAGAGAGGGUAGUGGAAUUCCGGGUGUAGCGGUGAAAUGCGUAGAUAUCCGGAGGAACAUCAGUGGCGAAGGCGGCUUGCUGGGACAGUUCUGACGCUGAGGGACGAAAGCGUGGGUAGCAAACCGGAUUAGAUA
Molecule: ribosomal RNA, 279 nt
Filed under: uncultured bacterium
Lineage: Bacteria
Description: partial 16S ribosomal RNA
Rfam family: Bacterial small subunit ribosomal RNA
Source: RNAcentral